RNAcentral lists this ribosomal RNA (379 nucleotides) under uncultured organism. RNAcentral describes it as "partial 16S ribosomal RNA". It matches the Rfam family "Bacterial small subunit ribosomal RNA", at positions 525 to 896 of the family's 1533-position model. The record is from RNAcentral.
CGGGGGGGAGCGAGCGUUGUCCGGAAUUACUGGGCGUAAAGGGCGUGUAGGCGGUUUAAUAAGUCAGAUGUAAAAGCCCCCCCGGGCUCAACCGGGGGAUGGGUCAUUUGAAACUGUUAGGCUUGAGUGCGAGAGAGGGUAGUGGAAUUCCCAGUGUAGCGGUGAAAUGCGUAGAUAUUGGGAAGAACACCAGUAGCGAAGGCGGCUACCUGGCUCGCAACUGACGCUAAGGCGCGAAAGCGUGGGGAGCAAACAGGAUUAGAUACCCUGGUAGUCCACGCUGUAAACGAUGAGCACUAGGUGUUGGUUUGCCGCAGGCUAAUCAGUGCCGCAGUUAACGCAAUAAGUGCUCCGCCUGGGGAGUACGAUCGCAAGGUUG